RNAcentral lists this unclassified non-coding RNA (253 nucleotides) under uncultured Kofleriaceae bacterium. RNAcentral describes it as "contains 16S-23S intergenic spacer region". It matches the Rfam family "Bacterial small subunit ribosomal RNA", at positions 524 to 776 of the family's 1533-position model. The record is from RNAcentral. Lineage: Bacteria; Pseudomonadati; Myxococcota; Haliangiales; Kofleriaceae.
UACGUGGGGUGCAAACGUUGCUCGGAAUUAUUGGGCGUAAAGCGCGCGUAGGCGGCUUACUAAGUCGGAUGUGAAAGCCCUGGGCUCAACCCAGGAAGUGCAUCCGAAACUGGUUCGCUAGAGUCUCACAGAGGGUUGCGGAAUUCCCGGUGUAGAGGUGAAAUUCGUAGAUAUCGGGAGGAACACCAGUGGCGAAGGCGGCAACCUGGGUGAUGACUGACGCUGAGGUGCGAAAGCGUGGGGAGCAAACAGG